Molecule: non-coding RNA, 2192 nt
Organism: Meleagris gallopavo (turkey)
Lineage: Eukaryota; Metazoa; Chordata; Aves; Galliformes; Phasianidae
Source: RefSeq, a predicted model, not a curated record
CCGCGGCAACAGCAGAUUGGCGGCGCCGCGGACCAAUCGCAGCGCCCCGAGUGCAACGCCCUGCCGUUCACCUGCGCGGCGGAGGGGUGGAGCUCACCUGAGGCGAGGCGCGGUAGGGGCGGUCCGACGUCCGCCAUGUUGGGGGAGGAGUCGUCCGUCCGCCCGCCCGCCCGCCCUCCCUCCCUCACCUCGCGGUGAGGCAGCCCGGCAUGGCGGCGGGUGCUGUGUUGUGUGGGGCUGGUGCUCGGGGUGCUUCCUCCUGAGGGCCAGUGGGGGCAGCCAUAAAACAUUACGAAGGCAAUUUUGCAGACAACCCUUUGUUAUGAAAGGAAAGCGAAGUCACUUCAGUGGACCUCGGAGCACCCAAAUCCCAUAGAUUCCCCUGAAAUUCAGCAAUUCACUUAAAUCCUUUGGCUGUUCUUCGAGAGAAAAUCCUCGUUAUUAAUGUCGUGAGUGGAUGCACGAGCAGAGUGUGAACAGAAGAGGUUAGCUUGAGUUCACACAUGCUUUAAUUCUGUAUGAGUCCCACGUCCCUGUUCCUGAGUGGUGACAACACUGCUAGUGCCACUGAAAGCUGGAGGUGCUACCAAGCGUUAAUUAGAAGUAAUGUAUAUAAAUCCUGAGUGCUGCCUUCUAUGUGUGAGAGAUAGGGAGUGCUCCUGUUCCCAUAGAGAGGAGCACCCGUAACCUUCCCGCGACCCGAGCACAGCCCUGCGUUUGCAGACCUGCUGUGUUGAUACAGAAACGUGCACGGUUUAUUUUAACCUUGCUGCAGCUUGCUCCUAAUGUUCCCUGUGCACAGAUGCUUAAUUAUCAACAGACUGAUUUAAUGUAACAAAACCGGACUGAUUUUAAUCAAUAUAAAUAUGGCAUGUUGGGAAGCCUGAGCCAACUGUUUCUGCAGCAUUCACACUGAACUGAUUCCAUCGUUCCUGCAGAGCAAAGAGGCUCUCCCUCCUGUAGGUCUCUCCAUGUGCAAGAGUGGAAUUCAGAGGACUAGAGUGGGUCAGAAGAGUUUCUUGCUUGAGUUAGGUCAUCCACUUGGAAGCAUCUAGAUCCCACUCACAAUUUAAAGAAAUGUGAUUUCUGAGGACAAGUUCUUGAAUGAAGAUCUUCCACAGCUGGAAACUUUCCUUUUGCUAGUCUUGCUGGCAGCUCUCAUGUCAGGCUCAGAUCUUCAGGGCUAUUUUCAUGAGAUGAAAGAAAUCUUAAUUAAGUGUUCCUAUCUUUGUCAGCCAGACUCGGAAUGAGAACUGAUGCAUUUCCCAUGAGCUUCACCACUUGUUAUACCCUGCAGCCAACAAAGAUACUGAGAAGAAUAAUGUGAAUGUCAUUUAACAUAACAAAGCAGUUUUCCACAACUGGAUAGGUUGAUGUGGAACUAUUGAGUGGGGGGGGAAAAAAAAAAAAGAAAAAAAUCUCUCUACUGUCUCUUCCCCUCAUUAAAAAGAAAAGAAAGAAAAGAAAAAAAAAAAUAGAAGAGUAUUUAGAGAAUGAUUGCAGUGUUUCCUGUAAAAUGGAGAAGAGCGGACAGUUCAAUAACUUCAGCCCUAUUCCCUGUGAAAGAUACCAGUUCCUCCAUGCCACAGGCACACCUCAGGGAAGACACUUCCUUCUCUUUGAGCAUUAAUUCUCUUCUUUUGCUGGUUCAGAGAAGAUUUGUGAGGCUAAAUGUAGUCAUAAUUCUGAAGGACUCAGCUCAGCUUGCAGUCAUGACACCCACAGCAAAAUAUCAAAAGAGAAAGAAUGAACUGUUCUUCCCAAUUAGCAAAAAGACCUUGGCGCUCUGGGAGCAAAUACAACAUUAAGAGUAGAAGGCCCUAGACACACCAGCUAGUGAUAAGCAGCUGCAAAAGGAUUCCAGUUCCCUUACAAGCACAGCGCUUAACUCCUUCCAUCCAUACAUGCUGAGAGGGAAGGAGUUUUGAGAUCAUGGUGUUCCUCAUUACCCAGGCUGGUGUUUCAAAAUCUACGUCUAGACAGAAAAUUUUAAUUCUGUCUUGAGAGUGCAUGUCAGUAUUUUACCAAACAUAAAGUAUUAUUUUUGAAUUAUCAUAUUCAUAUAGUUCUGUUUGAAUAUAAUCAUACUCAAAAAUAACAAAAUAGCCAGCAGAAUAGCUAGGAUCAUGUAAAUAAGACAGAUACCAGGUUGCAUUCUCCCUGCUCCUCCAUGAUUCAGUUUCUUCAAAAAA